AGCGGCCUCGGCGUCCAGCGUGCGGUCGGAUGGGAGGUGGAGGCGGAGCUCGAUUUGGAGGCUGCGGAGCUCGAUUCGGCAGCGGCGGAGCUCGAUUUGGAGGCGGCGGAGGUCGAUUUGGAUGCGGUUGAGGUCGAUCCGGUAGCGGCCUCGCCAACUGGCCGAAUCCCGCCGCCGCGCAGCCGGCCGAGGCAAGGCCCUUCGCGGGCGGACCACCCCUACGUUUCUCCAGCACCCACGCCACCAACGCCCGCCGCCGCCGCUGUCUGCCCAACGCCCGCCGCCACCUGUCUCCAGAAGCACCCGCGGCCCGGAGAAUGCCCGCCAACCGCCGCCGUGUGGGUCGCUCCUUGCCUCAUGGGUUGGUCUGGAGGUCCAACGACGGGGAGGCCCAUCGCGGAACGAGGCGGGGACAUGCCCGCCUGAGCGCGGGGGACGGGUGCGUCCGUUUCUGAUGUCGUGGAUGAACUGAGUGCCGGCGUGGUGGUGGACUGGGGCACUGCGCCAAGUGCGAGGAGCGCCUUGGAAGAAGCACACCAUGAUGGGUUCACCACGACACCAUUUCUCCAUGCUCCAGUAGAAGUUUGGACUCAUGGCGGAGCUGUGCGGCUAGAUGAUUGGAUCUGAUUGAUGCAGUUGAGUCCAGGUAUUGCAUCCCAUUGCUGAUUCUAUCACUAUCAACAAAACGAUCCGGAUCCUGUGCUUUUUGUGACACAUCAUGCUUGCAGGUACAACUUAUGUACAGCUUAUGCAUAUACAAUUUAGAUGUAUCUUUAUGUUUAGUUCUGAGAUGAACCACUUCUUCUUGGUAUGUAGUGAGAAUGAGCGAGGUAGCACAUGUUUUAUAUCAGUUCAUACAACACAGUGCAAUGUAUUUUCUAGAUAUGCAUAAAUAAGGUGUCACCCAUAGUGUUAGCAUGGGCAAGCUACUAUCAACAUAUAAUAACUACAUGUUACAUCUUUUGUGUGAAACAUAUAUUUUUCAUUUUGAACUA
Molecule: long non-coding RNA, 995 nt
Organism: Panicum virgatum (switchgrass)
Lineage: Eukaryota; Viridiplantae; Streptophyta; Magnoliopsida; Poales; Poaceae
Exons: 3
Source: RefSeq, a predicted model, not a curated record